This 451-nucleotide ribosomal RNA is filed under the name uncultured bacterium. RNAcentral describes it as "bacterial SSU rRNA". It matches the Rfam family "Bacterial small subunit ribosomal RNA", at positions 354 to 796 of the family's 1533-position model. The record is from RNAcentral.
GUGAGGAAUCUUGCGCAAUGGGGGAAACCCUGACGCAGCAACGCCGCGUGAGUGAUGAAGGCCUUCGGGUCGUAAAGCUCUGUCAGAUGGGAAGAAGGUUCCGGCGAUCAAUAAGCGCCGGAAUUGACGGUACCGUUAAAGGAAGCACCGGCUAACUCCGUGCCAGCAGCCGCGGUAAUACGGAGGGUGCAAGCGUUGUUCGGAAUUAUUGGGCGUAAAGAGCGUGUAGGCGGCCUAGUAAGUCAGAUGUGAAAGCCCUUGGCUUAACCAAGGAAGGGCAUUUGAAACUGCUUGGCUUGAGUACGGGAGGGGGAAGCGGAAUUCCCGGUGUAGAGGUGAAAUUCGUAGAUAUCGGGAGGAACACCGGUGGCGAAGGCGGCUUCCUGGACCGAUACUGACGCUGAGACGCGAAAGCGUGGGGAGCAAACAGGAUUAGAAACCCCGGUAGUCC